RNAcentral lists this ribosomal RNA (496 nucleotides) under uncultured bacterium. Its description in RNAcentral is "partial 16S ribosomal RNA". It matches the Rfam family "Bacterial small subunit ribosomal RNA", at positions 29 to 507 of the family's 1533-position model. The record is from RNAcentral.
AUGGACGCUGGCGGCGUGCCUCAUACAUGCAAGUCGCGCGCACAGACGAGGAGCUUGCUCCUCUGACGUUAGCGGCGGACGGGUGAGUAACACGUGGAUAACCUACCUAUAAGACUGGGAUAACUUCGGGAAACCGGAGCUAAUACCGGAUAAUAUAUUGAACCGCAUGGUUCAAUAGUGAAAGACGGUUUUGCUGUCACUUAUAGAUGGAUCCGCGCCGCAUUAGCUAGUUGGUAAGGUAACGGCUUACCAAGGCAACGAUGCGUAGCCGACCUGAGAGGGUGAUCGGCCACACUGGAACUGAGACACGGUCCAGACUCCUACGGGAGGCAGCAGUAGGGAAUCUUCCGCAAUGGGCGAAAGCUUGACGGAGCAACGCCGCGUGAGUGAUGAAGGUCUUCGGAUCGUAAAACUCUGUUAUUAGGGAAGAACAAAUGUGUAAGUAACUAUGCACGUCUUGACGGUACCUAAUCAGAAAGCCACGGCUAACUACGUG